This 253-nucleotide ribosomal RNA is filed under the name uncultured bacterium. RNAcentral describes it as "partial 16S ribosomal RNA". It matches the Rfam family "Bacterial small subunit ribosomal RNA", at positions 524 to 776 of the family's 1533-position model. The record is from RNAcentral.
UACGUAGGGAGCAAGCGUUGUCCGGAAUCAUUGGGCGUAAAGAGCAUGUAGGUGGAUCAAUUAGUCUGCUGUGAAAGUCAAAGGCUCAACCUUUGAAAGCCGGUGGAUACUGUUGAUCUAGAGUACGGAAGAGGCGAGUGGAAUUCCUGGUGUAGCGGUGGAAUGCGCAGAUAUCAGGAGGAACACCAGUGGCGAAGGCGGCUCACUGGACCGGUAUUGACGCUGAGGUGCGAAAGCGUGGGGAGCAAACAGG